CGGCGGACGGGUGAGUAACGCGUGGGUAACCUGCCUCAUACAGGGGGAUAACAGUUAGAAAUGACCGCUAAUACCGCAUAAGACCACGGUACCGCAUGGUACAGUGGUAAAAACUCCGGUGGUAUGAGAUGGACCCGCGUCUGAUUAGGUAGUUGGUGGGGUAACGGCCUACCAAGCCGACGAUCAGUAGCCGACCUGAGAGGGUGAUCGGCCACAUUGGGACUGAGACACGGCCCAG
This 238-nucleotide ribosomal RNA is filed under the name uncultured bacterium. RNAcentral's name for it is "partial 16S ribosomal RNA". It matches the Rfam family "Bacterial small subunit ribosomal RNA", at positions 96 to 334 of the family's 1533-position model. The record is from RNAcentral.